Molecule: long non-coding RNA, 584 nt
Organism: Pecten maximus
Lineage: Eukaryota; Metazoa; Mollusca; Bivalvia; Pectinida; Pectinidae
Exons: 2
Source: RefSeq, a predicted model, not a curated record
UAUAACGGAGACAAACACUGAAGUGAGGUAACACUAGAUCUAUAACGGAGACAAACACUGAAGUGAUGUAACACUAGCUCUAUAACGGAGACAAACACUGAAGUGAUGUAACACUAGUUCUCUAACGGAGAGAGAAGUGAUGUAACACUAGAUCUAUAACGGAGACAGAAGUGAGGUAACACUAGUUCUAUAACGGAGACAAACACUGAAGUGAUGUAACACUAGUUAUCAUCGGAGUGGAAUUAAAAGUCUGGUUUUACACUGGAAUGUAGAGUAUCGGAAUCGAAUCAAUGGUUUUAGACUAGAAUGUAGAGUAUUUGAGUAUUGUUUUUCAUUUUCAUUUUUGAUAUUUAGCAUUAUGCUUUCAAUAUGUGAUUCCUACGUUGAUAUACCCAGCUGUUGCCUGACAAUAACUGGAUUAAGAAAAAUAUUAAACACAUGUAUGUGUAGCAAUAUAGAUAUUAACUGUACUAAGACAACACUCUCGUGUUACUGUUAAUUAAAUUGAUUAUAUUUCAGUCUGAUGUAGGGGAUAUGUGAUCCUAUACCUGAAAGUUGGCAUUAAAUGUUAUAUCAUUAUUUGA